Long non-coding RNA from Falco peregrinus (peregrine falcon), 3070 nucleotides. RefSeq lists it as uncharacterized. The transcript has 5 exons. Lineage: Eukaryota; Metazoa; Chordata; Aves; Falconiformes; Falconidae. The record is from RefSeq and is a predicted model, not a curated record.
GAGGCGAGGCGAGGCCUCUCGCUUCCCGCUCCGGCUGCUCCGGGCCUGCUCCUGCCUCUUUCCAGUGCCGUGGUCCCGGCUGCUCUCUUGGCUGCCCGCGGGCCAUGAAGGGAGGUGUCUGCUGUCGGCUUGGGGAGGCUUGGCUCGGUGGUCAAGAAAGUGGCUGUAUGGAGUUGCAAACAAACCGGUUUUCUCUCUGACUUUCCAGGCAAUCCAGUUUGUCGUCCUCCUUGAAGUGUACAGCUUCAGCCUGGACUUGGUUUCCUAACAGACCAGUAGUGUGCUUCACCCAGGAAGCGUAGCUAGGGCUGAAAUACAGAAGACCUUCUGAAUAUAUAAAGCCUUAAUAUCAGAGAGGCUUCCUAGCACAGAGCUGCAACCGAGUGGCUUUGAUUAAGGAAAAGUACCCAUCCUUUGAGGAACUGCAGGUAAUAAAUAUGAUUUUUAUUUUUAAAAAAAGUACAGUGUAGUUGUGUUUACAGCAGAUAAGAUUUUUUUGACAUUUACCUUCAACAAAAGCUCAAGAGCAAAAGUAUCUGUCUUGAACACAAGCAUCAUGCACAGGUCGCAGUAAUUGAUAUUUAUUGCGCUAAUGGUAAUCUGAACCAGAGAAACCAUGUUUAGCUGGCUGUGUGUUCCAGUUCUUUUGUCCAGGUUAUUCUACUGGGUAACUGAAUGCAUUAGUAUUUCCUCUGAAAAUUAAUUUUGUGGCAGAUAAAGAAAACAUGUACAUAUACAUAAAUAUCUUGUUUUCUGGCUGGGCAAGAGGCUGAAAAACCAGGGUGUGUCUGGAUAUAUUUUGUUUGGUAAUUACUAUUUUUCUCCUUUUUUAAAAUGUCUAACUCAAAUGUCAGUUCAUUCUUCUCUGUUUCCUGCCCUUACUCAGCUAGACUUCCAAACCAGGCUUAAUUAACUUUAAGACCUUUUCUGCCCACCCCUAGAGUUAGUCUUUUCCUGCAACAUUUCCAUUGUUAUAAUCUCCAUGUGUUGUGAGAUGAUACGACAUUAUUACUGCUCUUAUGAAUUUACAACAAGCUUUUCAGUGUUUUUACUUACAGCUUAGCUCUUGUCAGGAAAAUCUCUUGUUCAAAUCAAAAUAACACUAGGGAAGCACAUUUCCAGCUUACAGUACUGAUAAAGGGAAGCUGGAAGGCCUGAAAAUUCAGGCCUCAGACGCAGGGGAUCUUAAAUAGAUGAGGAAAGCUGUUGUAAAUUUUGUGACUUAUUUUAGAGCUAGACAUUUUUCUGCAUGGAUUUGAUUCCAUGUGGGAGUGACUGUGAUUUAACACAGUGUUUUGUGGUGUUUUGCUCCAGUAUCUAUGCACUGGCUUAAGCAGGUCAUUAGUCUGAUGAAUUUUACAACCCCAGCCCAGAGGCGAUGAUUGCAGCCAUAGUAGGUGCUAGUUCAACAUGUAAGAUGUGACUCCAGGAGCGACCCUGUUUCAAGGCAGGCCAUGCUUUUGUUUACAAUGUGGUAAGAAAGAAGUCUUUGUGGCAGUGAUAAAAGUGAGAGCUGGGGGCUUUCAGCUGUCUGGCCUGGGGUCGCAUCUGCUCACAGGUCUUCUUAAGCCAGCACCCAGGAUCUAGGCUGGUGGCUGCUGCUGCUGCCCUGCUGGGGCACAGCGCUGUGAGCAUUGGGGAGCAGCCUGCAUCCCCCCCAGGAGCUGAUGGCUUUAAAGUAACCUGGCUGUUUGGGAAGUUCUUAUUCACAUCAGUGCUGCACUUGUGGGUUUGCUGCCUGAAUCCGGAACACAGCUGGAGAUACUUCUUAAGCUGAGGUGGGAAUUUUUUUUCUCCUUCGUUAGUGGCUGUGUAAGUGGAACAUUUAGUUCUCUCACAGCUCAUAUUUUAAUCAUGGCCACUGAAAACUCCUUUCUUGUGCGAAUAAAGGCUUCCUCUUCAUUUAAAGAAGCCCAAGAUCAAUCCAUAUAAGGCAGGUAAUACAGCUCACAAUUUCACAGCAGGAAAAUGAUGCAAUGUAUUCCAAAGAGAAAUGUGCCCCUUUCUUCCUGUUUGAAACUUAGGUCGUCUCCAAGUGCAAUUACUGGAAGAUUCAGUAUCUAUUCUAAUCCUAAACUUUUACCAAGGCUGCUGCUGGCAAAUCUGUUGUACAAAGCAAAUGUGUUAAAUGGCGCAACAGAUGAUAGGUCUCCACACCAGUUUUGUCUUGUCCAGUUCACGUUGUUGUCCUUGUAAAAUGAACCCAUUCCAAAAAUCAUUCCUGCUUUUUCUGCUGUCUGCUUUCUGCCCUUGCUUCUUAAUUUCCGUACUGGAUACGUGCUUUAGGUGGCGUGCAUUGCUAAUCUGGGCGAUACUAAAAUGUGCAUAGUGUAGCAGUAUUUGUUUAUGUUUUAAUGACAGUCGAAAAAGCUAAAUGAACAGUUCUGAGCAAACGGACAGUAUAUACUAUUUCAUUGUAGGUUUGGGUUCCUAGUUCAGGUGGUGAAGAGUUUGAUACCUUAUUAGUAGUAUUGAUUGGUUGGUCUAAUGCUAACAUGAAUAAUCAGGUUCUCUUGCAUACAGAUCAUAUAUAUCUGAAAGACUAUGGCAAUAAAAGCCAGUGAGAUAAUACAAAUCUCUGAAUUCAGGUGUAGGAUUGGAGGUGGAGGGAGGGAGUAUCCUACAAAAAGAAUGGAGAAGCUAACCUAAAACUGUGUGCCAGUGGAAUGUUCUGCCGAUGAAGCUGAACCUACCACAGGAACAAUUCCCAUCAAUGGCAGGAUUUCCUAUCAUUUGCAUGAGAGCAACAUUAGCCCCUUAGUCUCCUCAAGUGGUAUGUUGUAAGGUAGACUUUGCACUCCUAGAGGAUUUCCAGAUCAGAAAUUCAUAUCAGAUAGCAUCAUAAAAGGAAGGGGAAAAGGAAGGCUGAUCCUACCAAAGCAUUAGAAAUGUGGACAAAGACAGGAGAAGGAAUUCAACUGUAUCCUCCAGACAUACUGUGGAAGUGGAAUUUCCCUUCACACUGUCAUACACAAUAAGGACAAGGGCAUGUGUGUGCUGCAGAUAACCCACCUUGUGCCCUGUGAACUUUGCCAGGUGUCAGGAGGACCAAUCCAGAUGUUGCUGGUGG